AUUGAACGCUGGCGGCAUGCCUAACACAUGCAAGUCGAACGGCAGCACAGUAUGUAGCAAUACAUAUGGGUGGCGAGUGGCGGACGGGUGCGUAAUAUGUAGGGAUCUGCCCUGAAGCGGGGGACAACCCGGGGAAACCCGGGCUAAUACCGCAUAAUACUCUACGGAGGAAAUCUGGCACGCAAGUGCUGGGGCUUUAGGAUGAACCUACAUCCGACUAGCUAGUUGGUGAGGUAAUAGCUCACCAAGGCAAUGAUCGGUAGCUGGUCUGAGAGGAUGACCAGCCACACUGGGACUGAGACACGGCCCAGACUCCUACGGGAGUCAGCAGUGGGGAAUAUUGGACAAUGGGGGAAACCCUGAUCCAGCAAUGCCGCGUGGGUGAAGAAGGCCUUCGGGUUGUAAAGCCCUUUAGGUGGGGAAGAAGGUUAUAGGGUGAUAAGCCUUAUAGCUUGACGGUACCCGCAGAAUAAGCACCGGCUAACUCUGUGCCAGCCGCCGCCGUAA
RNAcentral lists this ribosomal RNA (507 nucleotides) under uncultured bacterium. RNAcentral's name for it is "partial 16S ribosomal RNA". It matches the Rfam family "Bacterial small subunit ribosomal RNA", at positions 30 to 523 of the family's 1533-position model. The record is from RNAcentral.